This 25-nucleotide ribosomal RNA is filed under the name Symbiodinium sp. Amami2b. RNAcentral's name for it is "partial 28S rRNA". The record is from RNAcentral. Lineage: Eukaryota; Dinophyceae; Suessiales; Symbiodiniaceae.
CCCGCCGAAUUUAAGCAUAUCAUAG